AACCUGCCCUUGACUCUGGGAUAAGCACUGGAAACGGUGUCUAAUACCGGAUACGAACUUCAGCCGCAUGGCUAGGAGUUGGAAAGAAUUUCGGUCAAGGAUGGACUCGCGGCCCAUCAGCUAGUUGGUGAGGUAAUGGCCCACCAAGGCGACGACGGGUAGCCGGCCUGAGAGGGUGACCGGCCACACUGGGACUGAGACACGGCCCAGACUCCUACGGGAGGCAGCAGUGGGGAAUAUUGCACAAUGGGCGCAAGCCUGAUGCAGCAACGCCGCGUGAGG
RNAcentral lists this ribosomal RNA (282 nucleotides) under uncultured bacterium. Its description in RNAcentral is "partial 16S ribosomal RNA". It matches the Rfam family "Bacterial small subunit ribosomal RNA", at positions 123 to 406 of the family's 1533-position model. The record is from RNAcentral.